This 594-nucleotide ribosomal RNA is filed under the name Triticum aestivum (bread wheat). RNAcentral describes it as "partial small subunit ribosomal RNA". The record is from RNAcentral. Lineage: Eukaryota; Viridiplantae; Streptophyta; Magnoliopsida; Poales; Poaceae.
AUGGCUGGGCGUGGACUUUUAGCUGCAGGUUUGGUCCUCCUCGCCGCCGUCGCCCCGGCCUACGCCGCGGACUACACCGUCGGCGACUCGUCGGGCUGGGCUAGCGGCGUGGACUACAGCACCUGGGCAAGCGACAAAACCUUCACCGUCGGUGACACACUCGUGUUCCAGUACGGCGCGUCGCACAACGUGGCGGAGGUGGGGUCGUCGGACUACAGCGCCUGCUCUGCCACCAACUCCAUCCAGUCGUUCAGCGACCAGGACACCAAGAUCACGCUCACCAAGCCCGGCACGCGCUACUUCAUCUGCGGCGUCAGCGGCCACUGCUCCGGCGGCAUGAAGCUCGCCGUCAAGGUCGCCCCCGCGGCCACCACCACGCCCACCCCGUCCACCUCGCCAGACACGCCUUCGGAGACGCCCUCCACGCCUUCGGAGACGCCCUCCACGUCCACGACCCCGGCCGGGGCGACAACGGCGCCUUCCUCCUCCAAAUCAGCGGACAGCGUCGGCGGGGCCAGCGGCGUCGAGGCCCGCUCCGUGAUGGGCUCUCUGGUUGGAGCUGCAGGCCUUGUCGGCCUCGCCCUGAUGGGCUAG